RNAcentral lists this transfer RNA (70 nucleotides) under Rattus norvegicus (Norway rat). It matches the Rfam family "tRNA". From Rfam's summary of the family: Transfer RNA (tRNA) molecules are approximately 80 nucleotides in length. Their secondary structure includes four short double-helical elements and three loops (D, anti-codon, and T loops). Further hydrogen bonds mediate the characteristic L-shaped molecular structure. tRNAs have two regions of fundamental functional importance: the anti-codon, which is responsible for specific mRNA codon recognition, and the 3' end, to which the tRNAs corresponding amino acid is attached (by aminoacyl-tRNA synthetases). tRNAs cope with the degeneracy of the genetic code in two manners: having more than one tRNA (with a specific anti-codon) for a particular amino acid; and 'wobble' base-pairing, i.e. permitting non-standard base-pairing at the 3rd anti-codon position. Lineage: Eukaryota; Metazoa; Chordata; Mammalia; Rodentia; Muridae. The record is from Rfam by way of RNAcentral.
GGGGAUUUAGCUCAGUGGUAGAGCACUUGCCUAGCAAACAAGGCACUGGAUUCGGUCCUCCUAAGCUCCG